RNAcentral lists this long non-coding RNA (3101 nucleotides) under Homo sapiens (human). RNAcentral's name for it is "HSALNT0291982". The record is from RNAcentral. Lineage: Eukaryota; Metazoa; Chordata; Mammalia; Primates; Hominidae.
UCUGGUUCUAGGUCUUUGAGGAAUCACCACACUGUCUUCCACAAUGGUUGUACUAAUUUACAUUUGCUGGUGCUGUUUUCUACAUUGAAUCUGAGGGCUACUGUAUGAUGUGUAAGACACUUUCUGAUUGGAGCCUCACAAUGAUCCUACCAGAGCAUGCAGUCCAUUUGGAAACAUGCAUGUGGGAAAGUGGGGAGGGACCCUGUCAAGCAUCUAAGAGGAGUGGUGGCAUUUGCUGUGUCCACCUCCAUCCUUCCCACUCACUACUCAGCACCUAUAGCCUUGUCGCUCUCCCCAACACUCUGCUGAGACUGUUGUCACCAAAAACACUAUUGUCCGGCUCCCUGUUGAAAGGUAAGAUGGUCUAUCUGAUUCUUCCGCUCUCAGUAUAAUAGGAUGAUCACCAUUUUAUCUGGGAAGCUGUUCCUGACCACCUGCCCUCAGCUCAUCAAGCUUCUGUGAGCCUGCAGGCUCACCCUGGUCAUGCCGCCCAUCUCUCUGAACAAGAUUGUGAACUCUGAACUUUGUGAGGCAAAGACCACAUACACCUCUUUAUUGCAAUGUGCAAGUGUCCUGGAAUAUAGGAGGUCUCCGAGAGCUAUGUGUUGACAUGGAGACCUUAUCCCUUGCACUCAGUUACACUGCUUCCAGUAAAGUAUCAACUUCUAGAUCAGCGCCUUCAGCUCCACUCCCUCCUGCACAGCUCCACAGGUACCUCAGGUCCAAAAUGGAAUUCUUGAUCUUUCACCAACCUGAGUCCUCUGUUCCUGUAAGUGGCAUCCAUUCACCCAGACCAGAGAUAGGGGAGUCACCCAGAAUCCCCCUCUCCCUCAGUCCCUGAGUUUCACUUUCCAACAUAUCUCCCUCCAGGUUCUUUCCAACACAUCUCCCUCCAGGUUCAAGCCUCGAUCUUGCCUGAUGUUUGCAGCUGCCUGCUCCCUUGUUUUUAUUUUUACCCCCAAGUUUUCCUCUACACUGCAGCUAGGGAGACCUUUCCUGCUGGAAUACAGCCAUUCACAUCUGCGAGAGGAAUCUAAACUCAAGGCAGGUGUAGCCUAGUGGCUAUGUGCAUGAGCUUGAAGCCAAAUUUCCCUGAGCAAAUCCCAUCCUGCCAAUUUUAUAUUAGUGGGAUGUACCCCAACGAGGGUAUAUCAGGGACUGAAUAUGCAAAUUAGGGAUAAAAUGAGGCCCAUCUUAUGAGGUUGUGGUGAAGAGUAAAUGGAUGUAAAGAAAGCAUGCAGUAUGCUCAGUGAAUGACAGCCAUCGUGAUUUUCCUUUCCUUGCCUGCAAUAUCUCGAGCAGCCACUAGAUGACUCCACCUCCUUCUCCCUUUCCAGUGCUGCCAACACUACUGCUGGAACUUCUGCCUCCCCUCCCCUCCCUCACCACACAUCUCCAUGCCCGUGUUGUUCAUGUUUUUCCUUCUGCUAGCCUCACCGUCUUCGGGGCGUCUCCCUGACAUCUUUUACUACAUCUCACCCUCAGCUCUUGGAGGACGGGAUGUCCCCACGAAAACUGGCAUAGUGCCUGCAUUGAACAAGUACUCAGUGUUUGCUGAAUGAAUGAAUGUGGGUUAGUCAAUACUAGCUCAGCUGCUUACAUCACUUAGCCUCCCCGGGUCUCAGGAUCUCCUUUUAUCUGUGGUGACCAUCCAAUGUAAAGCCCUAGCAUAAGACCUAGCAUGCUUUAGACCCAUGGUUGCCGUGCACAGCCAGCUGCCUGUCAAUCAUUGCCCAUUCCCAUUGCCCACUAGCCAUUGUCCACUCUAUGUUCACCCCUGUUACCUCACCCAGCUGAGGGUCUUAAACAUAGUUUUACCUCUUCUCAAAGGUCAUUCUUUACUUGGUAGGGUAGGGUCUAGAAAGAGUCUGCAAUUUGGUUAGAGUCUAGAUUUAGUUUGCAACCCAGCUGGGCUGGGUGAGCCCAGGCUUGGCUGAUGGUUCAGCUGAGCCCAGAUGGCUCCCAUCUGCCUGGAAAGCAUAGGCUCAGCCUCCCCCUUCCCUGAACCCCUACCAAGCAUCCUGGCUGGCUGUGCUCCUGGUCCUCUUUUACUCUAGUCCAGUUCCUGUCCUGGCUUGGGCUGGGGGUAAGGGCACUUGUUUCUGGCCACUCCUCAUGGAUCUCUAGUCUCUGCCUCUGUCUUUGCCUGCUUGACCCUGGUCCUUGUGCCACUUACAUCAAUGUCCUGAAGCAAUGACUAUUUUUUAUAGGACCGACUCUCAGGAGAUGAAGAUCCAAUCACUCUAUCAAAGAAUAUGAGCAUUUCCGAGGCUCUUGUAAGACAUCCAGCCUCCAGAACUGUGAGUACUAUGCUGAAGAGAGCCCUCAUCAGCACCUGACCAACCUGACCAUGCUGCACCCUCAUCUUAGACGUUCAGCCUCCAGAACUGUGAAUACUAUGCUGAAGAGAGCCCUCACCAGCACCUGACCAUGCUGCACCCUCAUCUCAGAUGUCCAGCCUCCAGAACUGUGAGUACUACAUUUCUGUUGCUUAUAAGUGAUCCAUUCUGUGGUAUUUUGUGAGAGCAGCCUGAAUGACUACCUUGUGACUGAAGGUAUACUUCAUAAUAGUGUUCGGGGUCACUGGGAAAUGUGUUCAGAAGAUUUCAGAUGUGCAUCAGCAAUGGUCUUCUUCCAUUUGUCCUGGAAAGAGAUGAAAAUCACAUCACAAAAAUGCUCAUCAGUGUCUACUGGCCCUUUUCCUUACAUAUGCCUGAAACUCCAACCUCUAUGGGUGCCUUUUAGUGCUUGUUUGGGCUGUGACAUAGAGAGAAAUUGAACAAAAUAAAUGUACAGUAUAAUUACAACUACUGUAAAGCAAAGCAAUUUGCAAACAUCAAAAGGAAAUCCUGUGUCCAAACUGCCUACGUCCUAUGGACCACACUGUGGGGCUCUGACAGUAUUCUGUGUGACUGCCAGAAGAUAACUUGACCCUCUUUAGCUAAAGGUAACACCAACCAGAGUCUCUAUGAUCUCUCACACACAAUGCUCAGCAUUUAAUAAGAAAUCAGUAGGCAUGAUGACCCAUUCACCAAAAGCCAAAGAAAAACCAAAGCAGACAACAGAAAUAAUCCCAUAGGAGAAACAGAUAUUGAGUAUUC